This 233-nucleotide ribosomal RNA is filed under the name uncultured bacterium. RNAcentral describes it as "partial 16S ribosomal RNA". It matches the Rfam family "Bacterial small subunit ribosomal RNA", at positions 129 to 353 of the family's 1533-position model. The record is from RNAcentral.
CCCUAGACAGGGGGAUAACUAUUGGAAACGAUAGCUAAGACCGCAUAGGUACGGACACUGCAUGGUGACCGUAUUAAAAGUGCCUCAAAGCACUGGUAGAGGAUGGACUUAUGGCGCAUUAGCUGGUUGGCGGGGUAACGGCCCACCAAGGCGACGAUGCGUAGCCGACCUGAGAGGGUGACCGGCCACACUGGGACUGAGACACGGCCCAGACUCCUACGGGAGGCAGCAUG